This 155-nucleotide ribosomal RNA is filed under the name Golovinomyces biocellatus. Its description in RNAcentral is "5.8S ribosomal RNA". It matches the Rfam family "5.8S ribosomal RNA". Rfam says of the family: 5.8S ribosomal RNA (5.8S rRNA) is a component of the large subunit of the eukaryotic ribosome. The record is from RNAcentral. Lineage: Eukaryota; Fungi; Ascomycota; Leotiomycetes; Helotiales; Erysiphaceae. RNAcentral also lists the same sequence under 1 other name.
AACUUUCAACAACGGAUCUCUUGGCUCUGGCAUCGAUGAAGAACGCAGCGAAAUGCGAUAAGUAAUGUGAAUUGCAGAAUUUAGUGAAUCAUCGAAUCUUUGAACGCACAUUGCGCCCCUUGGUAUUCCGAGGGGCAUGCCUGUUCGAGCGUCGU